Vicia villosa (hairy vetch) is the source of this 687-nucleotide long non-coding RNA. RefSeq lists it as uncharacterized. The transcript is spliced from 3 exons. NCBI's taxonomy places the organism in Eukaryota, Viridiplantae, Streptophyta, Magnoliopsida, Fabales, Fabaceae. The record is from RefSeq and is a predicted model, not a curated record.
CAACAAUCUAAAUGGAUCAAUUCCAUCCUAAUUUUCUAAUCUUCCACGUCUCCAGACAUUGUAAGUUGCCUUUUGUUUUAUCCUUUCCUUCCAGCAUUUGGUAGAACAAUAUUUCAAAUCCUGGUAAAAGACUGCUUCAGUAAGAUCUCUAUAGCGUUUCUCUUCUAGCUAGAGGUGUAUAUUUUUUAGUGCGUAUGAGUAAUGAUUGGCUGUUUUUAUUGAGCAAUAUGCAGUAUAGCAUAAGGGCAACCUUAACAUUGAUGUUCAUACAUCUAAAGAAUUGUUUGUCAAGGAUGAGUCCUUCAGGUUUGUCGAAAUGUUCAGAUAGUGCAGUUGAACCGACACUGACCCCAAUUUCGAUUCCCAAGAGCAGUGACAAUGCAUUAGACUUGACUUUUAGUCGGAUGGUUUUUUCGGUUGCGUCAUUGCAAAAGAGAUCAAUUACAACGUCAGAAAGAAGAAGAGAUGCUAAAAAUUGAUUUCGAUAGAGACAAAAUGGGCAGAAGAAUGGGAAUGAAGAAUGGGCAGAAUAUUACAUUCCCGGGUGAAGCUGAUGAAGUGCCGAGUACAGUUACUAGAGAUAUCGUAUUUGUGCUUCAACAGAAGGAGCAUCCCAAGUUUAGAAGAAGUGGUGAAGAUCUUUUAAGUAGAGCUGUGAAUUUGUUUUCCCCGAUGAUGGUUGCUCAG